Ribosomal RNA from Gossypium raimondii (Peruvian cotton), 118 nucleotides. Lineage: Eukaryota; Viridiplantae; Streptophyta; Magnoliopsida; Malvales; Malvaceae. The record is from Rfam.
GGGGGCGAUCAUACCAGCACUAGAGUGCCGGUUCCCAUCAGAACUCUACUGUCUAGCGUGCUUGGGCGAGAGUAGUCUACAAUGGGUGACCUCCUGGGCAGUGUUCGUGUUGCUUCCC